RNAcentral lists this long non-coding RNA (14583 nucleotides) under Musa acuminata (dwarf banana). RNAcentral describes it as "long non-coding RNA (MACU_LNC005820)". Lineage: Eukaryota; Viridiplantae; Streptophyta; Magnoliopsida; Zingiberales; Musaceae. The record is from RNAcentral.
CUGCACCGACGGUCCCUUCUUCUCGAGCCUGGAAGAGGUCCAUGCCUUCUUGAUGUCCGAUGACACCUUCAUUGCCUCCACUACGAUCCCAGGGGCCUCGCUGUCAUCCUCAACCGGCCUUGCCGCGGAGCAAACGGAGUUGCAAGCCUGCUUGAGGUCUGAUUCGACCACGGUCGAAAAGGCUUCGAUGUCAUCGUCGAACGACUCUGUUGGGUGUGCGCAGACGGAGAACAUAGAUGACGACGACGGCUUGCUGCAAGAGAUUGAAGCCUUCAUGAAGGACACCGCAAUGGAUUCGACUAUGAUCUCGUGGUUGGAGCAGUAGCUUUGUUUGUAUGGAAAAUACUGUUUGUUCAUGUAUAUCAUAAUAAUGGAAGGAAAAGAAAACGUAUGUUCCUGUAAAAAUUCGCCAAUAACACGAUACAUUUUUCAUCCCAACCCAUGUAUUUGUUGUCUCCUUUGAUGCGAUGUUGGUCUCCAUAGGAUGGUAUAACGAAUGAACCAGCAAUCUGAGAGAGAGAGGUCACAGUGUUCUCCCAAUGCAUCAACAUACCAUAGUGGGCAAGCAUUCUAUUUGCCCACCAUCCUCUAUCAUCAACUUCUCACAAAGUUAGUAAUUGCUGGUUUAGAUGAUUGGUAUUUGAUCUGGAAAUACAAAAACAUGAGGCACAAUUGGGAACUGAUGAUGUUCUUUUUAUGCAUCCAAAAAGAUAACUAGUUUUCAUUAGUGUAAUUGAUUGCUCAUUCAUUUGUCUUAAACCAUGAAUGAUCAACCAUUGAGCAAAAGAAUAGAAAUGAGAUGCAACUACUGCAUUUACAGUGCUAAUUCCUGUGGUACACACAAACCUUGACAGUGCUAAUUCACUUGAUCAUAUAUUUAGUAACAUCUACACACCACUAAUGCUAACACACUCACUGAUCAUAUAUUUAGCAACAUCUACACACCACUGUCAAAUGGGCAAUAACUAUACAACACCACCAAAUUGAGAUUUCUACAGCAUGGAGACCAUCAGUGUAGUUUCAGUUAAAAAAACUAGAAUCUAUUCUCUCGAUGCUCAAGCAAACGAUAGCUCGAUUGUCCCUGUUGACAUUUCGAUACAAUAGAUAGGUUUGGAAGUUAGAGCAAGUCUGUACAGAGGAGGCCACCAUCAAUGCCAAUCUCUACAACAUCAGUUGCACAGGUAUGCACAUCCCUUGGAGCACUGCACCAUUAGACAUCUUCCCCAUGGGUACCUCCAGCAAUUAGGUUUCCUGCGUCUAAUCCCACAGCAACAGUUGGUCGUGAAUGUGGUGCUUGUGGUGGCAGUAGCCUCCCUAUGUAUGUCUUCUCUAAAGCGAUAACAACAAUCAUAAAUUAUUAGUAUAUAAGCAGAGUCUGUAAACAACACUAUCGUAAAAUCAGAUCAGUUCCAAUAAAAUUUUCUUAUCCAGCNNNNNNNNNNNNNNNNNNNNNNNNNNNNNNNNNNNNNNNNNNNNNNNNNNNNNNNNNNNNNNNNNNNNNNNNNNNNNNNNNNNNNNNNNNNNNNNNNNNNNNNNNNNNNNNNNNNNNNNNNNNNNNNNNNNNNNNNNNNNNNNNNNNNNNNNNNNNNNNNNNNNNNNNNNNNNNNNNNNNNNNNNNNNNNNNNNNNNNNNNNNNNNNNNNNNNNNNNNNNNNNNNNNNNNNNNNNNNNNNNNNNNNNNNNNNNNNNNNNNNNNNNNNNNNNNNNNNNNNNNNNNNNNNNNNNNNNNNNNNNNNNNNNNNNNNNNNNNNNNNNNNNNNNNNNNNNNNNNNNNNNNNNNNNNNNNNNNNNNNNNNNNNNNNNNNNNNNNNNNNNNNNNNNNNNNNNNNNNNNNNNNNNNNNNNNNNNNNNNNNNNNNNNNNNNNNNNNNNNNNNNNNNNNNNNNNNNNNNNNNNNNNNNNNNNNNNNNNNNNNNNNNNNNNNNNNNNNNNNNNNNNNNNNNNNNNNNNNNNNNNNNNNNNNNNNNNNNNNNNNNNNNNNNNNNNNNNNNNNNNNNNNNNNNNNNNNNNNNNNNNNNNNNNNNNNNNNNNNNNNNNNNNNNNNNNNNNNNNNNNNNNNNNNNNNNNNNNNNNNNNNNNNNNNNNNNNNNNNNNNNNNNNNNNNNNGGAACAAUGUAUAUAGUGUAUUCAUGGAUCACAACCAAUAUCUCAUUUCAUUUCACAAAAAAAAAGAAUUUGGCACAAAAAUUGGUUAAUUGCAAUGAAACUACUGAAUGAUGUUGUGAUGUGUCCCACAUAAUUUUGAUAGAUCUGUCUUAUAUAUUCAAACACAAUUUUUGUGGCAUCGGUAAUCAACAUUAAUAUGAUUUAUAGCAAGCAUCUAUACCUUCAUUUACUAAAUUCAAUUAAACCAAAGCAUGCCAAAUAUUAUCGUAAAAAAAAAAAUACACUAUGAUGGAUAAUUCACUAAAAGGUUUGACUAUGACACAAUUGAAAAAAACACAUUCGAUCAAGAUCAGAAUAAUUUUCAUUUUAUAACUAAAAUCCACACAAUAUAUAUAUAUAUAUAUAUAUAUAUAUAUAUAUAUAUAUAUAUAUAUAUAUAUAUAUAUAUAUAUGUAUAUUCAGUAACAAAUGAGGCCACAUAAAUCUAGAAUAGGCCCCAAUAACCAAAAAAACUAGAUAAUGGGUAUACUUAGAUACCAUGUAUUCUUGCUUGCAUCUAUAACUUUAUUAUGAUACAUAUAUAUGAGAAAAUAAUGUAUUUGUUGUUGUAGGAUACUACCAUGGGUCUCCUAUGAUGGCACCACCUCAAUAUGCAACUCCACCACCCAAGGGAAGUGGCUUUUUGUAAGGAUGAUUAGUGAUCCAGUGUUCAUGACUUCUUCGUUUCUGCUUUUAAAGAUUUGUUAUAAUACUCUGUAACCAAAAAGCUUUUGUUUCUAUGUUUAUCUGUUUUUUAUUUAAUAAAAGUAUUCGACAAUAGAGGAGUAUUAUCUUUAGCUGAUGAACAGAGAUUAAAUGGAACAUUGGAAAUUAGACAUGAUUUGCAUCUUGGAUGGAUGAUCUAUUUUGCAUCUUAUUUCACAUCUCGGCAUGCAACCUAUUUGGUCAAUUCUUACUGUAGAGCUUUUAUGUAGAAGAGGAACUUUGAUUUGUAAAACAUAUAUUUCGAAGAGUUUGGUUGAGAUGAAGUUGCUAAAUAAACUACAAAUGACCUUCGUUUUGUCCUCGAAAAUAAUUAUUUUUAAACUAUAGAAAAUUGAAAUAAUGUUGUUGGUGCAGCUAAAACAAACUUAUAACUAAAAUUUUUAUUUUAUUGCACUGGUAUAAUUGUUAGCUAAACAUCAAUUCCUGUUAUUUUUUAUGUUGUGCGAUAUAUUACUCUUAUGGUUGCAUAAUAUUAACAGAUGACUUCAAGGAAUGGGGAAAAAUUGAAUAUUUUUUGCUGCUUAUUUAUCAAGAUAUAGGUACAAAACAUAUUUGUUUUCAUCAUUAAUUUUGCCUUUAGCAACAAAAUAUAUUUCAUCUCCAAUAUUGAUUAUAGCAACAAGAUAUUCCAUUACUAGUAAAACUCUUCAGCAAGAAUUUUAUAUUUUUCGGUGAAAUAGUUAUUUUCUCAUUUAAAGGUUAAUUUCAUGUAAUUUGGAGGUAUUUUAAUCAUCAAGAUCUUGUACUUGUUUGACAGGAAUAUAAAUAGUGAUUCACUUGCAGAUUAUAUUUUAGAGCAGAAAGUCAAUUUUCUUAAUAGGAAAAGUCAACUUUUUAUUUUUUAAAAUUAGAGAAGACUGGAAACUUAUGCCCACAGGUUUUAAUAAGGACAAAAUUUUCCCUAACUAGCUUUUUAAACAACGCAAAUUUAAUUAAAAGAAAACAAUGUUAGAAAAACUCUUCAGCAAGAAUAUUUUUAUUUUUCAGUGAAAAUUUAUUUUCCCUUUUAAAGGUUAAUUUUAUAUAAAUUUGGAGGUAUGUUAUUCAUCAAGAUCUUGCAGUUGUUUGACAAGAAUACAAAUACUGUUUCAUUACAGAGUAUACCUUAGAGCAGAAACUUAAUUUUCUUAAUAGGAAAAAGGCAAAACUUUUCUUUCUUUAAAAUUAGGGAAGAGUGGAAACAUAUGCUCACAGGUUUUACGAAGGACAAUUUUUUCCCUAACUAGCUUCUUAAACAACGAAACUUUAAUUGAAAGAAAUCAAUGUUAAUCAAUAAAUCUGCACAAAAAACGAGAUCACAAAAUAAACUGCCUACUUUUAUUUCUUUUGUGAAAUGGAGAUCACUUACUACGGUUUUUUGAUGACUUCGCCACUGACUAGAAUGUUUUGUUUCGCAGCCUUGCUGCCCUGUACUGCUGCUUUUGUUGACGAGUGCUGCUUGGAUCCAGGCAUCCUAUUUGCUGCCUUUAAACACACUUGAAGUAUCUGCUGUGAAGCUGUAAUCAAAAUUUCAAGCUUGAAAGUGUUUCAGCAUCUUUAUUUAGAGAAACUUCCAUAAAAGUAUGUUUCGCUGUGGUUAGCAGUGAUGGCCACAAGAACAUAAAUAAGAAGAUUCAUGAAUGUCAAAUAACCUUUCUCAGUGAUCAUUCUGCAUCAAUCCAGUCUGCUACAUGGAAGAAUCUGAUUACUUUAGUUAACACUUUUGCUACUCAUUUCUUAUCUAUUAGAACCAUUAGGGUCUUCGAAACUGAAAAUCUGAUAUUAACAUUAACCAAUAUUUUUUAGAUAAUUUUUUAGUGUCAUUUAUCAUGACUAACUCGAUGAGUUAACUGUCUCAUUAACUUGACAAAUCAAUUAUAGUAAAAUCAUCUGAAUCCUUAUAAACCAAUGUUGAUACUUAAACUCAAGUUAACUAUAGUAGACUCAUAUAAUCCUUAUAAAUCGAUACAAUUCUCUUCGAACAUCUGAAAAUGUGACAUUACAAGUGAUGAGAUGUGAGGUUAAUUCUCUGGUGAGAUCUUCCCAAAGUCAUAAAUCAUAAAAUAUAUCAAAUGUAUACCAAGGUUUGACUUAUCGGUCGACACCGGUGUGCCGCCCAGUACCGGUGUACCGACACAUGGUACAUUGGUGCAUACUGAUAUUUCGACAAGGAAGAAAAUAAGGUUGAAGUGGAUGGUCCGAUGGAGGAAUAGAGGAGGAAGAAGGAAGAAGACGAAGAAAAAAAAAAGGAGGAGGAAAGGAAGUGCAGCGAUACCUGGGAAGCAGCGGCAGCGUCGAAGGGAAGCAGCAGCAACAUCGCAUCGGCGAUGCGAUGUGAGGGAAUGCCACGGCAUCGUACGCGAGAAGAGGAGCCCUAAUAUGCCUUUUGAAUUUUUUUAAUGCCGAAAUGAACUGGGGUCCACCCCUUUUUAAUUUUUUAUUAUUUUAAUUCGGACAACCCCAAAAAGGCCUAUCCAUGUAUCAAUACAAUGCUUAGACCUAUACGUACCACCCAAACCGCACUGUACGGCGGGUACAACAAUCCUUGAUGUAUGCAAUCAUACCUCAGUCUUCAAGAUCCUCCGUCUUGAAGACACCCACCAAAGAAAUGCUUGAAUGUCUUCAAGAAUCACUCUGUCCAACCCCGAGCGCCCAUUCUCUCUCCUCUCCAACUCUUCAAGAAUCCUCUGCUCCCUUCUCCUUCUUCUCCUCGUUCAUUUCCUCUCGUCCCCUCUCCGGAAACUUUAGUCAUCCAUGGAGCCCGUCGACCUCGUUCCGUCAGGCUACAGAUUCCUUCCCACGGCGGAUGAACUCGUGGUCGACUACCUCGCCAACUGGGUCGCCGGCAAACCCCUCCCUGGCCGCGCUGUCGCCUUCGCCGACGUCUACGGCACCGAGCCGUGGAAUCUUCUCGGCAGCGAUCGGAAGGAGGGCUAUUUCUUUGCGGAGCGCCAGCCCAAGGCCAGCGGCGGCUCGCGCGUCGAUCGAACGGCCGGCACCGGUUCUUGGCUUCUGAACAGAAGGCAAGAACCCGUCAAGUCCAUCGUCGACGGGCGCGAGAUCGUGGUGGGAAGAAGGAGCUACCUUUCCUUCAAGGACGGCCGGCGGAAGAACUCCGGGUGGGUAAUGUAUGAAUACCAGAUGUGUUCAUCCACCUUCGAGACACGAGUUCUCUGUCACGUGAAGAAGAGCUCGUAUCAACCCGUCUCCGGCGGCAAGUUCAUGAAAUCGGUUGAGUCCACGUUCACGGAGGCCACGACGGAGACGCUCACCGGCGCCAGCAGUUUCGUUGGGCAGAAGAGAAAUAGAGAGGAAUCUUCUACUCUCUCAUCAGCAGCACCCAAGAAGCCAUGCCGGGGGUUGGUUGCACAUUCCAACGGAGCAUUCCAGUCCGACCUCUCACCACCUCCGACCGCGGUGGUGCAACAGCUCUUAUUGGCUCCCGUCGUGACAAUCCCGGAGAGUCGUCUUUCCUCCAUCGACUCCGUGGCACCGAACGAAGCCGGAGUCCCAGCCGCCUCCCCAUCGUCAACGGACGUUGGUGGAGGUGACGUCGGGAUAACUGCGGAAGAACUCGAAGCAUUUGACCUCGGGAUGACUGCGGAGGAGCUCGAAGCAUUCUUGGCUUCGCCUUCGUCGUCGGUCGAUCUUGGCGGUGAUCAGCACUGCACCGACGAUGCUUUCUUUACCAGAGAGGUUGAUGCUCUCUUGAUGUCCGAUGCCACCGACACAGUCUCGACUACCAUCCCCAAGGCCUCGCCGUCAGGCCCCUUCUUCACGAGCCUGGAAGAGGUCCAUGCCUUCUUGAUGUCCGAUGACACUUUCAUUGCCUCGACUACGAUCCCAGGGGCCUCGCUAUCAUCCGAGUUGCAAGCCUGCUUGAUGUCUGAUUCGACCACGGUCGAAAAGGCUUCGACGUCAUCGUCGAACGACUCUGUUGGGUGUGCGCAGACGGAGAACAUAGACGACGACGACGGCUUGCUGCAAGAGAUUGAAGCCCUCAUGAAGUUCGAUGACACCCCAAUGGAUUCGACUAUGAUCCCGUGGUUGGAGCAGUAGCUUUGUUUGUAUAGAAAAUACUGUUUGUUCAUGUAUAUCAUAAUAAAGGAAGGAAAAGAAAACAUAUGUUCAUGUAAAAAUUGGCAAUAACACAAUUCAUUUUUCAUCCCAACCCAUGUAUUGUUGUCUCCUUUGAUGCGAUGUUGGUCUCCAUAGGAUGGUAUAACGAAUGAACCAGCAAUCUGACAGAAAGGUCAUUGUAGUGGGCAAACAGCCAAUAUGCCCUCUACUUUUCAUUAGUGUAAUUGAUUGCUCACUCAUUUGAGUUAAAACAUGAUUGAUCAACCAAAGAGCAAAAUAAUAGAAAUGAGAUACAACUGCAUUGACAGUGAUAAUUCCUGUGGUACACACAAACCAUGACACUGCUAAUUCACUCACUGAUCAUAUAUUUAGCAACAUCUACACACCACUGGUGCUAACUCACUCACUGAUCAUAUAUUUAACAAUAUCUACACACCACUGGCAAAUUGGCAAUAACUAUACAACACCACCAAAUUAAAGAUUCAGUUAAAAAAAACUAGUAUCUAUUCUCUCGAUGCUCAAGCAAACCAUAGUUCGAUUGUCUCUGUUGACAUUUCGAUACAAUAUAUUGGUUUGGAAGUUAGAGCAAGUCUGUACAGAGGAGGCCACCAUCAAUGCCAAUCUCUACAACAUCAGUUGCACAGGUAUGCACAUCCCUUGGAGCACUGCACCAUUAGACAUCUUCCCCAUGCGUAGCUCCAGCAAUUAGAUUUCCUGCGUCUAAUCCCACAACAACAGUUUGUCGUGAAGGUGGGUGGUUGUGGUGGCAGUAGCCUCCCUAUGUAUGUCUUCUCUAAAGCGAUAACAACAAUCAUAAAUUAUUAGCACAUAAGCAGAGUCUAUAAACAGCUCUAUCGUAAAACCAGAUCAGUUCCAAUAAAAAUUUUCUUAUCCAGCAAAGUCUACAGUAUUCACUUUGGUGAGUGCAAAGCAGAAGUCAAAUGACAAUUUGAAUUCAUCAAAGUGACUAAGGAAUUGACAAUAUUUUCCGAACCGAUCACUGAAUGCAGAAAUUAAGCAUAGCAUCUGACAGGAAUCAAUAAAUUUAAGAAACUGAUAGACUCUUUAAUAUAAGUUCAAACUUUCUGAUACAAUGGAAAAACAUUAACCAAAUUCAGUCCAUUGUUAAGGAUACAAUUGCCACUACUUUGCAAAGAAAGCUUUUAAAUCCUUCUCAACAGAAAGAAUCAAACCACUGAUUGUUUGCAGGACAAAACGUGAUGAAUUUAAGACAAAGCACUUGCAUGAAUUACAAAAACUGGGCAAUUGACAUUUUUAAUUUUGUUAAUGUUCUGCAUCAAAAGCUUAAAUGAAUCAAUAUAUAACACCUCUAAAGCAAGUAAAAUGCAAAGUAUAAAUCAAUAGACAAGUGAAAAGCAUGUUAAAUGAGGAUGGUUAAAUGGAACCAGAUAAAAGUUCAGUUUGCAUUGCUUUGAAAGAAAAUUUUAGAGGACUCAACAUCAAGUUAAUGAUUGUGAGCUUAUCUAGCCCUAUAAACCAUCACAAUUAUUCUUCCACUUCUGAUACGAUGCUAAUCGAGAUAAUUUUGGUGACUGAACUUACUUAGCUUACAUUCAAGAAAUAAUUCAGCAACAAUGCAUAUAGUGUAUUCACUGUUCACAACUAAUAUCUGAUUUCAUUUCACAAAAAAAAAAAAUCGGCACAGAAAUUGGUUAAUUGCAAAGAAACUACUGAAUGAUGUUGUGAUGUGUCCCACAUAAUUUUGAUAGAUCUGUCUUACAUAUUCAAACACAAUUUUUGUGACAUCGAUAAUCAACAUUAAUAUGAUUUAUAGCAAGCAUCUAUACCUUCAUUUACCAAAUUCAAUCAAACUAAAGCCUGCCGGAUAUUAUCAAAGAAAAAGAAUUACACUAUGAUGGAUAAUGCACUAAAAGUUUUGACUAUGACACAAUUGAAAAAAACACAUUGGAUCAAGAUCAGAAUAACAUUUUAUAACUAAAAUCCACAUCAUGUAUUCUUGCUUCAAUAAAAAGAUGCCUUUACAACUUUAUUAUGAUACAUAUAUAUAUAAGAAAAUAAUGUAUUUGUUGUUGUAAGAUACAAACAUAGGUCUCCUAUGAUGGCACCACCUCAACAUGCAACUCCAUCACCCAAGAGAAGUGGCUUUUUGGAAGGAUGAUUAGUGAUCAAGUGUUCAUGGCUUCUUCAUUUCUGCUCUUAAAGAUUUGUUAUAAUACUCUGUAACCAAAAAGCUUUUGUUUCUGUGUUUGUCUGUUUUUUGUGUAAUAAAAGUACUCAAUAUUAGAGGAAUAUUAUCUUUAACCGAUGAACAAAGAUUAACGGAACUGUGGAAAUUAGACAUGAUUUGCAUCUUGGAUGGAUGAUAUGUUUUGCAUCUUGUUUCACAUCUCAACAUAUAACCUAUUUGGUCAGUUCUUACUGUAGAGCUUUUAUGUAGAAGAGGAACUUUGAUUUGUAAAACAUAUAUUUUGAAGAGUUCGCUUGAGAUGGAGUUGCUAAAUAAACUAUAAAUGAUCGUCUAAAAUAUUUUUUUUAAAACUAUCGAAAAUUGAAAUAAUGUUGUUGGUGCAGCUAAAACAAACUUAUAACUAAAAUUUUUAUUAUAUUGCAUUGGUAUAAUUGUUAGCUAAACAUCAAUUCCUGUUAUUUUUUCUGUUGUGUGAUAUGUUGCUCUUAUGGUUGCAUAAUUUUAACAGAUUACUUCAAGGAUUGGGGAAAAUUUGAAUAUUUUUUGCUGCUUAUUUAUCAAGAUAUAGCUACAAAAUAUAUUUCUUUUCAUCACCAAUUUUGCCUUUAACAACAAAAUAUAUUUCAUUUCCAAUAUUGAUUGUAGCAACAAGAGCUUCCAUUACUAAUGUAAUUUGGAGUGAAAAAGUUAUAUUCUCAUUUAAAGGUUAACUUUAUGUAAUUUGGAGGUAUUUUAAUCAUUAAGAUCUUGCAUUUGUUUGACAGAAAUAUAAAUAGUGAUUCACUUACGGUGUAUACUUUAGAGCAGAAAGUCAAUUUUCUUAAUAGGAAAAGUCAAAACUUUUUCUUUUUUUUAAAUUAGAGAAGACUAGAAACUUAUGCCCACAGGUUUUAUCAUGGACAAAUUUUUCCCUAACUAGCUUUUAAAACAACGCAAAUUUAAUUGAAAGAAAACAAUGUUAAUAAAUAAAACUGCACCAAAAAUGAGAUCACAAAAUAAACUGCCUACUUUUAUUUAUUUUGUGAAAUGGAGAUCACUUACUAUGGUUUUUGUGAUGAUUUCUCCACUAAUUAGAAAGCUUUGUUUUGCAGCCUUGCUGCCCUUGCUGCUGGUUUCUUACUGAUGAUUGCUGCUUGGAUCCAGCCAUCCUAUCUGUCGGCUGAUAUCAGUGAUCGAUCUUGAAGUAUUUGCUGCCUUUGAACACACUUGAUCUGCUCGGAAGCUGCAAUCAAAAUUUCAGGCUUGAAAGUGUUUCUGCAUCCAAGAAAGACCAAUGUAACUAAAAUUGCUAAAAAAUUCAAGAAGAUGAGUAAAAAAUAUUGUAGUCAAAGAAAGAGGCAGACUUCAUACAUGUCAAAGCAGAACGAGAAAUUGACAUGGCAAACCACACAAAGUCCCGAAGACAGAACUGUGAAGCACUUCACGAAAUGCAAUGCCAAUGGAUAGCCCAUACAAGAUCAAAUCUUGCACUUACGAUAUGUUCCGUCAGCUCCGACCCACAAACCACAAGCCAACACCAGUGCAGAUAUCUCCAUCUUCGUUAGUCCAAUAAGCUAUCAGGUAAUCAAGCAGAAAGCAGAUGAUCAAUGUCCUUUCUUUAAAAGAUAUGUCAGUCUUUUUACAUAAAACAGAAUAUGAAAACUCUACAUCUAAUUCUUUAUCCUCUGAGAUAUCCAUAAUAAUGUUGGACAUUGAUCUAUAUGACCCUAUCAUCAUUGUAAAGAAUAUUGAAAUGGAUGUGUUUAAAGAACAAGUGAUUUUGUUUGCCCGAAUCAGUCUUGUCCCACUAAGUCUUGCCCAAGAAUCCCCAUAGAGGCAUAUCAUCAUAAUACAUUUCAAAGUAGUAGUCCCUUGAAUACAGCAUGAUGUCUGUACUUUGCAACAUCUUCUUUUGAUAAGUUUUUGUUACAAAGAGACUUUGACUGCUUUUCCUCCAGAAAAUUUAACCAUAUGGAGCAUUGACCAAAUUGAUAAGUUCUUCUUACAAAGAGACUUUGACUGCUUUUCCUCCAGAAAAUUUAACUAUAUGGAGCAUUGACCAAACGAUCACCAAUUAGAACUUCCCCAAUAGCUUCUUUUGAUCUAAUAAAUCAGCAAAGUUAGUAUUCCCAACAGACUCAUGCAGCUUAGUAGUCAGUGGAACAGUAAGGAUAGUCAAGAACGAGCAGAAUGGCAAGUCAUAGUAAGCAUAUGUCUCACUGCAGAUGCAAAAAGGAAAGGGCUCAUAUUUAAGAGACACUGAAAUGUUAAGUAAAUAAUAAAUAUCCUAAAACAAGAGCAUCACUAAAAAGUGUCAAUAAGAGGAUCAAAGGCAGCAGAAUAACAGGACAUGGUAAUGUUUAAGGCUAUAAACAAGCAAGUUGAAAAUAACCCUAACAAUCCACAACAAGCAGCAUAUACAUAGACAUGUAAAAAUGGUAAAGAACUAAAACCACUACAACAUGAAGCACACCAAAGAGAAGAUUUUUGAAGACUUGACAUGGUGCAAGGUCUAAAAUCCCUGAUCUUUUAUAGAUUUUGGUUUGCUAUAAAAGAAAUAUUGACAAAUCAAGAUAAAACAAUGGUAAAGGAUCGGAAACACUACCCUUUGAUGUGAACCAAACUUAGGAGUCCCCCAUUCAUGGGAGAGAUCAGAGAUCAUAUUUAAAAACAACUAUCAGCAAAUCAACAUAAAUUUAUCUAAUGGUAAAGGAUCAGAACCACUCCAAAUUGACACAUGCAAAAGCAAAGAUUUUUUUUGCUUUGACAUUGUCCAAAUUUAGUUAUCCCUAAUCUUGUUUUGAGAAUUUGGCAUUUUCAUUGAAAAAGAAACUAUCAACAAAUUAAAGUGAAAUUAAAUAGCAGUAAAAUAUCGGAACCAUCAUAGCAUGAAGUGUAGCAAAUAAAGAAUUUUUUGAGCUUUGACGUGAUCCAAACUCAGCAAUCCCUAAUCUGUUAUGGAGAAUUGGGCUUUUUCAAUUGAGAAAACAACCAUCGAUGAACAGAAAUAAAAAUAAAUGCAUUCAUUCUAAAUCACAACAUAUUUUAAGAAAACUAAAGGGGACACACAAAGCAAUGUAUGGCAAAAUACGAACCUAAUAACAAUCGUAGCAAAGACAUCCCAUCCGCAAACCCAAGCAGAAGUGCCGAAGCGAUAAUGCAGCAAUAACGGAAAGGAAAUCAACUUGGGUUGUGAACAGAUGUGAUUCAGCGAUUGGAAACAGUGGUCGAUCAGGAUACUGUUGCUUUUGGUUGUUAGUACAUCCAGACAUGAGGCAGCAAAUUGGACCAAGCAUCCUUCAACACGUGUCCGUAUGAAGUGACAAUUACAUUAUCUGGUUUAAACGGAGAAAAUUUGACCAUCCAUCUUGGAUGGAUGAUCUGUUUUGCAUCUUGUUUUACAUCUUAUCAUUGCAACCUACUUGGUCAGUUCAUACUUGGUCAAAACUAAUUUUUUCCCUAAUUAGCUUCUGAAACAAGGCAAGUUUAAUCGAAAGAAAAUAACGUUUAACAAUAAAUCUGCAUGAAAAAAUGAGAUCACAAAAUAAACUGCACACUUGUAUUUCUUCGGUGAAAUGGAGAUCACUUACUAUGGUUUUUGUUAUGAUUUCUCCACUCACUAGAAGAUGUUCCGUUGCUGCCCUAUGCUGCUGCUUUCUUAUUGAUGAGUGCUGGUUGGAUCCAGCCAUCCUAUUUGUCUACUGAUAUCACUUCUCAAUCUUGGACGAAAGAAGAAGAAGAAGAAGAAGAAGAAGAAAAAGGAGUAGAAGUGCGGCGAUACCUGGAAACAGCGGCAGCGUCGAAGGGAAGAACAGUUAUAACAGCGGCAAAGCGGCGAAGGGGCAACAUUGCAGCGGCGAAGAAGAGGCAACAUUGCAGCGGCGAAGAAGAGGCAACAUUGCAGUGGCGAAGGGGCAACAUUGCAACGGCGAAGAGGCAACGCUAGUGUUUCGUUGUGUAGAGCCGCUGCCUCUUCACCAUAAGAUCUGGGACCCAUAGCGGUGAAGUGGGGCAACAUUGCAGCUGCGAGGAGGUAUAUUAUAAUAAUAUACACAGUAAAAGAAGAUGAAUAUGCCACAUAGACUCAUAUUAAGACCACGAAGAAUGACUAUUACGUCAAUAUCAAAUGAUUUAUUAUUAUUAUUAUUAUUAUUAUUAUUAUUAUUAUUAUUAUUAUUAUUAUUAUUAUUAUGCAUGUUAAUUUCAAAAAGCAAAUAAUAAGUAAAAUUGUACAUAACAAUAUGUAGAGACCAACAACAUUAUAUACUACAUGCAAAUGUAGCCUUAAAAUUUAAUUAUAAUAUUUUCGAUAUUAGAUCAACUGAUAGAAUUACUUAGCAGAAUAUAAAAUUACUUCCAUAUUAGAUCAAUUGAAAUGCAAACAACAUUAGAAAUGUUUUCAAAAUUGUAACUACCCAGAUCAUGGGCCUAUAAGAACUAACCUAUAACUUAUAGAUGAUGAGUCAUUUUUUUGAAACUACCCUAUAAUUACUUCUAACUACCUAAAUAACUACUAUAAAUCAAUUCUCUAACAGAAUUUUCUCGGCAGCGAUCGGCUCAACAGAAUUUUCUCGGCAGCAAUCGGCAGGGCUAUUUCUUUGCGGUGCGCCAGCCCAAGACCAGCGGCCCAGCGCUCGCGCGUGGAUCGAACGAUCGGCACCGGUUCUAGGCUUCUGAACAGAAGGCAAGAACCCGUCGAAGUUCAUCGUCGACGGGCGCGAGAUGGUGGUGGGAAGGAGCCUUCAAGGACGGCCGGCGGAAGAACUCCGGGUGGACAAUGUAUGAAUACGAGAUGUGUUCCUCCACCUUCGAGACACGGCGGCAACUUCAACAAAACGGAGACGCUCACCGGUGGCAGUUGAAGCAUUCUUGGCUUCGUCGUCGUCGCCGAGCAGCACUGCACCGACGAUGCUUUCUUUACCAGAGAGGUUGAUGCUCUCUUGAUGUCCGAUGCCACCGACACAGUCUCGACUACCAUCCCCAAGGCCUCGCCGUCAGGCAUCGUCGAUGUUCUCUUGAUGCCCGAUGACACUCGGAUAGAUUCGACCACGGUCGCAGAGGUUUCCUCGUCGAUCGACUUCGUCGUGUGUGAGCAGAUGUACUGCACCGACGGCCCCUUCUUCACGAGCCUGGAAGAGGUCUUCCAGGCCUUCUUGAUGUCGAAUGACACCUUCAACCGGCCUUGCCGCGGAGCAAAUGGAGUGCGCGGACAAUGCCCGCUCGAUAACCCCGAAAGAGUUGCAAGCCUGCUUGAUGUCUGAUUCGACCACGGUCGAACCGGCUUGGUCGUCAUCGUCGAACGACUCUAUUGGGUGUGCUGCAAGAGAUUGAAGCCUCCAUGAAGUCCGAUGACACCCCUAUGGGUUCGACUAUGAUCUUGUGGUUGGAGCAGUAGCUUUGUUUGUAUGGAAAAUACUGUUUGUUCAUGUAUAUCAUAAUAAUGGAAGGAAAAGAAAAUAUAUGUUCAUGUAAAUAUUGGCAAUAACAAAGUUCAUUUUUCAUCCCA